Molecule: ribosomal RNA, 509 nt
Filed under: uncultured bacterium
Lineage: Bacteria
Description: partial 16S ribosomal RNA
Rfam family: Bacterial small subunit ribosomal RNA
Source: RNAcentral
GACGAACGCUGGCGGCGUGCUUAACACAUGCAAGUCGAACGAAGAGCGAUGGACGCUUGCUUCUAUCACUCUUAGUGGCGAACGGGUGAGUAACGCGUAAUCAACCUGCCCUUCAGAGGGGGACAACAGUUGGAAACGACUGCUAAUACCGCAUACGAUCUGACCUCGGCAUCGAGGAUAGAUGAAAGGUGGCCUCUAUUUAUAAGCUAUCACUGAAGGAGGGGAUUGCGUCUGAUUAGCUAGUUGGAGGGGUAACGGCCCACCAAGGCGAUGAUCAGUAGCCGGUCUGAGAGGAUGAACGGCCACAUUGGGACUGAGACACGGCCCAGACUCCUACGGGAGGCAGCAGUGGGGAAUCUUCCGCAAUGGACGGAAGUCUGACGGAGCAACGCCGCGUGAGUGAUGACGGCCUUCGGGUUGUAAAGCUCUGUUAAUCGGGACGAAAGGCCUUCUUGCGAAUAGUUAGAAGGAUUGACGGUACCGGAAUAGAAAGCCACGGCUAACUACGU